This 4010-nucleotide long non-coding RNA is filed under the name Equus caballus (horse). RNAcentral describes it as "lncRNA (ENSECAG00000046112.1)". Lineage: Eukaryota; Metazoa; Chordata; Mammalia; Perissodactyla; Equidae. The record is from RNAcentral.
CUAACAACCCACUCCCACUCCUCCUAUUGCAGGUUGCUGAACCCAUUUGUAGACCUAGCUGCUUCUAAACUAACAGCCUUGGGGCUGGUUUAUUGGUUCUUGCAAGGUGAUGCACGGUAAAGCCUUAGCAGGCAGAUGUCAGGACCACUAAGAGACUCUACCUUAAAUCUGGCAAAUUUUUUGUUUCCAGGCCUUGAAAAUACACUUCUUACAAGUUUCAUGCAAAUUACUCCCAUGAUCUGACACAUAGCCAGAAAAACAGCCUCAGCAAAAACUUUCUCCUUCCUACCUCCAGGAAGUCCUUGGUUUUUGCUGGCCACAAUCUUAGAGAAACUUCCAGCCAAACAGGCAAAUCUGGCCUCACACCAACAUGACAAAUAUGGUUUCUGUCCAAUGGUGCUGAUGCCACAGAUCCUCUUUGGGGGAUGUGCCUGCCUCACUGUCUCAGAUGCAAAUUCAAGGUUGGAGAGACAAAUGGAGGAACGAGCACAAAACUUCCACCCUACCACUUUCUUGUUAUCAGCCUAUGCAACAUAAUUUCCCCCAAAGAAAGGCGAUAAAAUUUCAAACACCUCCUCUUGACUUCUUCUCCUAGAAAAACUCUCUCACUUCAUUCUUGUCUCUGCCUUCAAAAGAUAGAUCUGCUUUGCCUGGAAGUGCCUUGUGGCUUCACUGCCCAGGCCCUCUCUCCCUCUGCUUCCGGAGUGAGCACAUCGGAAGGCAGUGGAGAGGGGGCUGAGCAUAACAGCUAAGAAUGCAGGCUUCAGACUCGAGCUGCCUGGGAUCAAACCCAGCUCAAACACAUGUUUGUAUGAAAACUUUGGCACUUAGCCUUUUCUCUGCCUUGACUGCUCCAUCUGUAAGAUGGGGAUGAUAAUAAUCUUCUGCUUUAUAGGGCUGAAGAUUAAGUGAGGUAAUGUAUAUAAAACAUCCAGCAGCUGGUCAAUAGGCAUUAGCCACUGUUAGCCACUAGUCGGCUUUAAUUCCCUGAGAGCAGGGACUCCAUUUUUUUUUUUUUUUUUUAUCACAUUGUACCUCUAGUACCUACAAUGGUGCCUGGCACAUAGUAAGCACUUCCAAAAUAUCUGAUCAAUGUUAACUGAAUGUGUGGAAGGAACUUGAGUGCCAAGAGUCCCUGCUGGGAUCCUCCUUUAAGAACAACCCUUCCCUGCCCAAAGUCUGUGUUACAAGUAGAACCCUGAUGUUGGUCAUAAUGUGCCCCCUGGAGCCAGGUGGGUAAAGGUUGAUGAUCAGAGUAAUGUGUGCACCAUCAGUGGCUGGGGGAAAAGAAGGUUUCACGUAACACAAGGGAGAGAAGUUUUAUCUGGGCUCCUUCAGUAUUAUUUUGACUUUCAUUUAUUCUACGUGACUUCUCUGAUGAUGGACAUGAAGAGAUAUUGCCGUGUUGGACUCCCUGACCCCUGUGGUAGAGGUUACACUUGCAUAAACCCUUGGGGACAUACUCUGGGGAGUGAGGCUAUUUUGUGGAGUCCCUUGGCAGGGGCCCUAGACAAGAGAUUCUUUCUUGUUCCAAGCUGUGGCAUGUGACUGUGGUUUUGGAGCUGGAAGAGAAGAAUGAGAUGGAAUAUUACAUGGUAAAUUAACUAGUCAUUUUAGCUAUUAAACAUCUGCCCUCCAAUAAGAGUUAUUAGUGUGGCUUCUGCUGGCUUAUGACACUGAAAGUCCAAAACUCCAGCAUAAUUGAGACUUCAAUGCUGUAAGAUGAUUAGAUUUGCCCAGACAUUUGGAUAUUAUUCCAUUGGUGAUAUGUAAUUAUUUUUAUCUCAGAUUUCUAGGAUAUUGUCCAGGUUUUGUGCUUUAUCUAUCUCUUGGCUGUUAUUACUUUUGCCUAUACUUGGAAGCUUUUAUCAAUUACAGGUGAGCCAAUUAAAGCAGAAACCCUUGGUGUAAGAGCAUAAAACACCAUCACACAGUAUUUGACCUCUGAAAGGCUCUGGGGGAGAGGAAGGUGAAUUAAUCGACACAGACUCACGGCUGGAGUCUGCUAAAGAGCAUGUCAGCAAACCCGCUAAUGCUGCAGCAAAUGAGCUGAUCUACCCAGAUACACUCACUCGUCUGGUCCUCCCCAAAUUCAUCCUGACAAUCUGUUUCUGCAGCUAGUGAUGGAGAUGCAAAUGCUGGCUACUGGGAUUUUCCAGAUUGCUUUCAAUAUUCUAAAUGCCAAACCAUCAGAGUUUUAAAAUUUACUUUUGAUUUGCCAAAUACCACAGCAUCAGGACAUGUAUUCUAGGAUAGAUGUAUGCCAGUUAUAAGACAUUUUUAUGUGCUUUUUUCUUUUCUUUUCUUUUUUCAAGGAAGGUUAGCCCUGAGCUAACAUCUGCUGCCAAUCCUCCUCUUUUUGCUGAGGAAGACUGGCCCUGACCUAACACCCCACCUUCCUCUACUUUACAUGUGGGACUCCUGCCACAGCAUGGCUUGACAAGCGGCAUGUAGGUCCGCACCCAGGAUCCGAACCGGCAAACCCCUGGCUGCUGAAGCGGAAUGUGCGGACUUAACCGCUGUGCCACCAGGCCGGCCCCUUUGUGUGUGCUUUUUUGCCUUCUUGUUUUCUGUGGGUUUCUUGGUGGUAUUCUUUGACAGUUCAGUCCAAGAGGGACAAAGUGCCCUAGAGGAGAAACGGACACAGUCUUAACCAUGGCAUCACCUACAGGCUAUAAACCCCGAGAGUGGACAGCAGUAAUGUAAGUGGUUCCACAGCCUUGCCUUUGGAUAAUCGGGCCUGGCUUUCCAGUUACUUCUUGAACACUUGCAGAUAUGUGAGUGAUGGGUUAUGUUAGGUGGGGGCAACUUUGGAGCCAUCUGCCUAAGAAGAAGAGUGUAAACUCUAGCAAGGCAUAUUUUGUUUCACUCAAAUAAGUAACUAUGCAUUGAUAAUGUAGAGUGUAAAUGUUUCCACAGGAAAAAAUACAGGGGAGGGACACUGGAUAAGUUGGGUUUCGAUUUCACUGCAUAGGACCCAGACUCCAAAAUAACAGUGCCUUACACAGGAGGGAAGUUUGUUUCUCUCUUACAGAAACAAAAGCAGGAGGUAGGCAGGGCAGAAUGUAUAGUAACUCUAUGAAGUCAUUAGGAAACGAACCUCAUCUCUUUCCGGUUCAAGGCUCUACCAUCCCCGGGUUGUGGCCUGUGUCUUUAUGGUCCAACUUGGUGGCUAGAGAACCAGCCAUCAUAUUCAAAUGGAGGAAGAAGAAAGGCAUGUCCCCUCCCUAUAAGAUCACAUCCCAGAAGUUGCAAACCUUUCCAUUUUCAUAUCAUUGGCCAGAGCUUAGCCAAAUGGCCACACCUACCUACAAAAGAUGCUGGGAAAUUUUGUCUUUAUCCCAAGCACCAUAUGCUCAGCUUAAAAAUUAGAAGUUGUGUUACAAAGAAAGAAAGGAGAAAGUGGAUAUUGAGCAGUCUGUGCUAUAAACACUGAUCCCAGCCAUGGACACCAGCAAAGCCCUCCUAAAGGAGGGGAACGUCUGAGCACAGAAUGAAAUGUGAUUAGGGACAUGUCCAGAUGAAAGGGACGUAGGAGAGGAGGAAGGGGAGGGGGCAGCUCAAGUGAGGACAUAACGGAGAGGAUGCUUGACUUGUUGGAGGAACUGAAAGAUGCUCCUUCUGGCUGGAUUAUAGAGUAGAGGCAGGAGAAGUCACUCCCUAUACUAGGCUCAGGGUUCUGGCUCUCUCGUUCGUCUCCUGCUUCAGCUCAUUCUCCAAGUUUAAAGUGAGUGGCAAAUCCCUCCACGGCAGGAAGGGGAAGAGUAGAUAGAACACCAUAUCUAUGUUAAGGAGACCCACUCCUUUUUCCUCAAAAUAGGAGACUUGAAUUUCCUCUUCAACCAAAAUGAAAAACAAAGCAUCUUCAGUGGACUCUUUGGAGAGGCUCCAGAGUGGGUGGGCGGUGGAAAGAGAGCAUCACCAAGUGGCUCUCUUCUGUCUCUCCACACCUGGGAGAUAACUUCUUUCCAUUACUAUGGCAACCGUUAUGGAUAGGGAUCUGUGAACUG